This 2134-nucleotide ribosomal RNA is filed under the name Brucella abortus 99-9971-135. RNAcentral describes it as "bacterial LSU rRNA". It matches the Rfam family "Bacterial large subunit ribosomal RNA", at positions 668 to 2925 of the family's 2925-position model. Lineage: Bacteria; Pseudomonadati; Pseudomonadota; Alphaproteobacteria; Hyphomicrobiales; Brucellaceae. The record is from RNAcentral.
CAGCGAAAGCGAGUCUGAACAGGGCGUUCAGUUCGAUGCAUUAGACCCGAAACCAAGUGAUCUAGCCAUGAGCAGGUUGAAGGUACGGUAACACGUACUGGAGGACCGAACCCAUAUCUGUUGCAAUAGAUCGGGAUGACUUGUGGCUAGGGGUGAAAGGCCAAUCAAACUUGGAGAUAGCUGGUUCUCCGCGAAAUCUAUUUAGGUAGAGCGUCGACCGAAUACCCCCGGGGGUAGAGCACUGGAUGGGCUAUGGGGACUCACCGUCUUACUGAUCCUAACCAAACUCCGAAUACCGGGGAGUACUAGUCGGCAGACACACGGCGGGUGCUAACGUCCGUCGUGGAGAGGGCAACAACCCUGACCACCAUCUAAGGUCCCUAAGUUAUGGCUAAGUGGGAAAGGAUGUGAGGAUCCCAAAACAACCAGGAUGUUGGCUUAGAAGCAGCCAUCAUUUAAAGAAAGCGUAACAGCUCACUGGUCUAAAUAAGGGUCUUUGCGCCGAAAAUGUACCGGGGCUCAAGCCAUACACCGAAGCUGUGGAUGCACGUAUGUGCGUGGUAGCGGAGCGUUCCGUAAGCCUGUGAAGGGACAGUCGUGAGACAUCCUGGAGGUAUCGGAAGUGAGAAUGCUGACAUGAGUAACGAUAAAGGGAGUGAGAGACUCCCUCGCCGAAAGUCCAAGGGUUCCUGCUUAAAGUUAAUCUGAGCAGGGUUAGCCGGCCCCUAAGGCGAGGCCGAAAGGCGUAGUCGAUGGGAACCACGUUAAUAUUCGUGGGCCUGCAGGUGGUGACGGAUCGCGUGUGUUGUGAGGUCUUAUUGGAUUGAUCUUGCAGCGAAGCGGUUCCAGGAAAUAGCUCCUGCAUAUAGACCGUACCCUAAACCGACACUGGUGGACUGGUAGAGAAUACCAAGGCGCUUGAGAGAACUGCGUUGAAGGAACUCGGCAAAAUGCACGCGUAACUUCGGAAGAAGCGUGACCUCACUAUGGGCAACCAUAGGGGGGUGGCACAGACCAGGGGGUAGCGACUGUUUACCAAAAACACAGGGCUCUGCGAAGUCGCAAGACGACGUAUAGGGUCUGACGCCUGCCCGGUGCUGGAAGGUUAAGAGGAGAGGUGCAAGCCUUGAAUUGAAGCCCCAGUAAACGGCGGCCGUAACUAUAACGGUCCUAAGGUAGCGAAAUUCCUUGUCGGGUAAGUUCCGACCUGCACGAAUGGCGUAACGACUUCCCCGCUGUCUCCAACGCAGACUCAGUGAAAUUGAAUUCCCCGUGAAGAUGCGGGGUUCCUGCGGUUAGACGGAAAGACCCCGUGCACCUUUACUAUAGCUUUACACUGGCAUUCGUGACGACAUGUGUAGGAUAGGUGGUAGACUUUGAAGCAGGGGCGCCAGCCUUUGUGGAGUCACCCUUGAAAUACCACCCUUGUUUUUAUGGAUGUCUAACUGCGGCCCGUUAUCCGGGUCCAGGACCGUGUAUGGUGGGUAGUUUGACUGGGGCGGUCGCCUCCUAAAGAGUAACGGAGGCGCGCGAUGGUAGGCUCAGAACGGUCGGAAAUCGUUCGUCGAGUGCAAUGGCAUAAGCCUGCCUGACUGCAAGACUGACAAGUCGAGCAGAGACGAAAGUCGGUCAUAGUGAUCCGGUGGUCCCGCGUGGAAGGGCCAUCGCUCAACGGAUAAAAGGUACGCCGGGGAUAACAGGCUGAUGACCCCCAAGAGUCCAUAUCGACGGGGUUGUUUGGCACCUCGAUGUCGACUCAUCGCAUCCUGGGGCUGGAGCAGGUCCCAAGGGUAUGGCUGUUCGCCAUUUAAAGCGGUACGUGAGUUGGGUUCAGAACGUCGUGAGACAGUUCGGUCCCUAUCUGCCGUGGGUGUAGGAAUAUUGACAGGAUCUGUCCCUAGUACGAGAGGACCGGGAUGGACGUAUCUCUGGUGGACCUGUUGUGGCGCCAGCCGCAUAGCAGGGUAGCUAUAUACGGACGGGAUAACCGCUGAAGGCAUCUAAGCGGGAAACCCACCUGAAAACGAGUAUUCCCUAUCAGAGCCGUGGAAGACCACCACGUUGAUAGGCCGGGUGUGGAAGUGCGGCAACGCAUGCAGCUUACCGGUACUAAUAGCUCGAUCGACUUGAUCAC